Molecule: ribosomal RNA, 743 nt
Filed under: uncultured Capnocytophaga sp.
Lineage: Bacteria; Pseudomonadati; Bacteroidota; Flavobacteriia; Flavobacteriales; Flavobacteriaceae
Description: bacterial SSU rRNA
Rfam family: Bacterial small subunit ribosomal RNA
Source: RNAcentral
GAUGAACGCUAGCGGCAGGCCUAACACAUGCAAGUCGAGGGAGGAGCCUUCGGGCUUCGACCGGCGUACGGGUGCGUAACGCGUAUACAAUCUGCCUUUCACAUAGGGAUAGCCCGAAGAAAUUUGGAUUAAUACCUAAUGGUAUAUAGGAGUGGCAUCACAUUUAUAUUAAAGCUGAGGCGGUGAAAGAUGAGUAUGCGUUCUAUUAGCUAGUUGGAGAGGUAACGGCUCCCCAAGGCUACGAUAGAUAGGGGUUCUGAGAGGGAUAUCCCCCACACUGGUACUGAGAUACGGACCAGACUCCUACGGGAGGCAGCAGUGAGGAAUAUUGGACAAUGGUCGGAAGACUGAUCCAGCCAUGCCGCGUGCAGGAAGACGGCCUUAUGGGUUGUAAACUGCUUUUGCAGGGGAAGAAUAAGGAGUACGUGUACUUUGAUGACGGUACUCUGCGAAUAAGCAUCGGCUAACUCCGUGCCAGCAGCCGCGGUAAUACGGAGGAUGCGAGCGUUAUCCGGAAUCAUUGGGUUUAAAGGGUCCGUAGGCGGGCUAAUAAGUCAGAGGUGAAAGCGCUCAGCUCAACUGAGCAACUGCCUUUGAAACUGUUAGUCUUGAAUGGUUGUGAAGUAGUUGGAAUGUGUAGUGUAGCGGUGAAAUGCUUAGAUAUUACACAGAACACCGAUAGCGAAGGCAUAUUACUAACAAUUAAUUGACGCUGAUGGACGAAAGCGUGGGGAGCGAACAGG